UGUUAACUUAGUUUAUAAAAAUAUUAGAUUGUGAUUCUAAAGAUAAGAUUUUCUUAGUUAACAG
This 64-nucleotide transfer RNA is filed under the name Sypharochiton sinclairi. RNAcentral's name for it is "tRNA-His". It matches the Rfam family "tRNA". From Rfam's summary of the family: Transfer RNA (tRNA) molecules are approximately 80 nucleotides in length. Their secondary structure includes four short double-helical elements and three loops (D, anti-codon, and T loops). Further hydrogen bonds mediate the characteristic L-shaped molecular structure. tRNAs have two regions of fundamental functional importance: the anti-codon, which is responsible for specific mRNA codon recognition, and the 3' end, to which the tRNAs corresponding amino acid is attached (by aminoacyl-tRNA synthetases). tRNAs cope with the degeneracy of the genetic code in two manners: having more than one tRNA (with a specific anti-codon) for a particular amino acid; and 'wobble' base-pairing, i.e. permitting non-standard base-pairing at the 3rd anti-codon position. The record is from RNAcentral. Lineage: Eukaryota; Metazoa; Mollusca; Polyplacophora; Chitonida; Chitonidae.